GCUGGCGGCAGGCCUAACACAUGCAAGUCGAGCGCACUCUUCGGAGUGAGCGGCGGACGGGUUAGUAACGCGUGGGAACGUACCCAGAUCUAAGGAAUAGCCACUGGAAACGGUGAGUAAUACCUUAUACGCCCUUCGGGGGAAAGAUUUAUCGGAUUUGGAUCGGCCCGCGUUAGAUUAGGUAGUUGGUGGGGUAAUGGCCUACCAUUCCUACGAUCUAUAGCUGGUUUUAGAGGAUGAUCAGCAACACUGGGACUGAGACACGGCCCAGACUCCUACGGGAGGCAGCAGUGGGGAAUCUUAGACAAUGGGCGCAAGCCUGAUCUAGCCAUGCCGCGUGAGUGAUGAAGGCCUUAGGGUCGUAAAGCUCUUUCGCCUGUGAUGAUAAUGACAGUAGCAGGUAAAGAAACCCCGGCUAACUCCGUGCCAGCAGCCGCGGUAAUACGGAGGGGGUUAGCG
RNAcentral lists this ribosomal RNA (459 nucleotides) under uncultured Roseobacter sp. Its description in RNAcentral is "bacterial SSU rRNA". It matches the Rfam family "Bacterial small subunit ribosomal RNA", at positions 35 to 540 of the family's 1533-position model. Lineage: Bacteria; Pseudomonadati; Pseudomonadota; Alphaproteobacteria; Rhodobacterales; Roseobacteraceae. The record is from RNAcentral.